Long non-coding RNA from Bombus pyrosoma, 1220 nucleotides. RefSeq lists it as uncharacterized. Lineage: Eukaryota; Metazoa; Arthropoda; Insecta; Hymenoptera; Apidae. The transcript has 4 exons. The record is from RefSeq and is a predicted model, not a curated record.
GCUAUCGCGUUUUCAAUUGACAGUGCCUUCUUGUGGACAUUACGAGUACUAGUGAUACGAAAGUUGGGACUCGGACCUGACGCACCUCUGUCGGAAUCGUUCUAGCUGAAUCGAUCGACGCUCUACACGAUUCUUGCCGUUAGUUGAUGUGAUCGAUGGGUCUUCCAAAGUGCAACGGAUGGGAAGAAAGUCGGUUUGAGAAGGCGAGCGAUGGAAGAUAAAGCGGUAUUUUACGAAUACUAUUCGGUAACUUCAUUAGAAAAGGGUUCCAAGUAUCGUAAUCACGACGGAGAUGAGAAUGACUCGAGCGAAUGUAAAUAGAGGAGAUAGAUAAGGAAAAGAAAGUCUUUCAAAAUCUUCGUCUCGGUGAAAGUUAAGAUCGAACAGCAGUCUGAUAGUUCAAUGUUUUAGAAAAUGCGUUCCUGUGCGAAUAUUCUUUCAAACGUAAACGAAUUUAUAAAAUUUGACUGCAAAUCUGGGAAAGAUAACUUUUAUGUGAUAGGGAUUAUCUAAUUGAGUAUACUUAUUUUAAUUUGUAUCGUUUUUCUAUAAUGAUUUGAUAAUAAAUUAGGAAACCUAUUAAUUAACAAAAAAUUAAUUUACAUAAUAUUUUUAACAAUGCAGAAAAUAUUACAUGUUAUUCUUAAGGAAUAUUACUGUUAUUUAUUUCAUGAUACGUGCUAUAAUUUUAAUAUGUCGCUGUGAAAGGAUUUUUUAACAAGGAAACAUUGAUGCACAAAUAUUUAACAAACAAAGAACGAAGACACCGAUCAUUAUUAAAUCGUGCGAAGAAUUGCCUGUAGAUAGACAACCCAUUCUACUGCUAUGUCGUUUGUACAGCAAUGGAAUCAGUGAGACAAUAGGUUCCUGUUUCGCAAUUUUGCUUCACCACAAAUAUCACGAUUAAGCGCACGUGGUAAGGAUGUACAGUAGUACUAUAAUGUAGAAAGUUGAAAUGUCAGGUACAAGUUAAAUGAUGUAGUUCGUGUCGUACUAAAUCAACAAAUCAAUCUACCGGCACGAUAUAAUGUAUAAUAACACAAUGUAAAAGGUUUCAAAUGUUUGACGUCAAUUUACCACGUUAACUUCGACUUACAGUGUCUGAUCAAGAAACGAACAUAAAGUAUUUCUUAAUUUACUUUUCUACGUUAUUUACGUAGUUCCUAAAAUGACAAGAUUGAAAUAUAAAGUUUAUUUAUAAAUUUUAUAAACUUUUGUAA